CAUAUCAACAGCUACCCCUUUCCUGCAUAAAACUGCCCGGCAGUCACCAGCAUUUGCAACCAGUAGAUGCCUUCCAAGAACUAGGGCAGUCAGAGCUGUUGUUCCGCAAGAACUACUAACGCUGCUUUCAUCAGCCAAGGCAAUGUCUGCCAGUAAAAAUGCCUUCUUAUGGCAAUCCACCAAUGCGUCGAGGAACACAGCAUCAAUAUCAGAUGUUUGUGGCAACUCGGCAUCUUCAAAAAACAACCUCAUAGCAUUUCUCUUGAUAUAAGCAGCAGCAUCAGGCCCACCAUG
This 294-nucleotide unclassified non-coding RNA is filed under the name Hevea brasiliensis (rubber tree). The record is from RNAcentral. Lineage: Eukaryota; Viridiplantae; Streptophyta; Magnoliopsida; Malpighiales; Euphorbiaceae.